Termitomyces sp. Mi166#008 is the source of this 93-nucleotide non-coding RNA. The record is from the annotation of a GenBank genome assembly. NCBI's taxonomy places the organism in Eukaryota, Fungi, Basidiomycota, Agaricomycetes, Agaricales, Lyophyllaceae.
UCUCUGCUAGUAUAUCGGUUAGUACACGCGCCUGUCAUCGCGCUUAAUACGACAGCUUCGCGCGAAAGCUGGGUUCGACUCCCAGGCAGAGAG